RNAcentral lists this ribosomal RNA (422 nucleotides) under uncultured bacterium. Its description in RNAcentral is "bacterial SSU rRNA". It matches the Rfam family "Bacterial small subunit ribosomal RNA", at positions 355 to 774 of the family's 1533-position model. The record is from RNAcentral.
UGAGGAAUAUUGGUCAAUGGGUGCAAGCCUGAACCAGCCAUCCCGCGUGAAGGACGACUGCCCUAUGGGUUGUAAACUUCUUUUGUAUAGGGAUAAACCUACCCUCGUGAGGGUAGCUGAAGGUACUAUGCGAAUAAGCACCGGCUAACUCCGUGCCAGCAGCCGCGGUAAUACGGAGGGUGCAAGCGUUAUCCGGAGUUAUUGGGUUUAAAGGGUCCGUAGGCGGACUUAUAAGUCAGUGGUGAAAGCCUGUCGCUUAACGAUAGAACUGCCAUUUAUACUGUAAGUCUUGAGUAUAUUUGAGGUAGCUGGAAUAAGUUGUGUAGCGGUGAAAUGCAUAGAUAUUACUUAGAGCACCAAUUGCGAAGGCAGGUUACCAAGAUAUCACUGCCGCUGAGGGACGAAAGCGUGGGGAGCGAACA